RNAcentral lists this ribosomal RNA (466 nucleotides) under uncultured bacterium. RNAcentral's name for it is "partial 16S ribosomal RNA". It matches the Rfam family "Bacterial small subunit ribosomal RNA", at positions 28 to 507 of the family's 1533-position model. The record is from RNAcentral.
GAUGAACGCUGGCGGCGUGCUUAACACAUGCAAGUCGAACGGAAAGGCCCAAGCUUGCUUGGGUGCUCGAGUGGCGAACGGGUGAGUAACACGUGGGUGAUCUGCCCUGCACUUUGGGAUAAGCCUGGGAAACUGGGUCUAAUACCGGAUAGGACCAUCGUUUAGUGUCGGUGGUGGAAAGUUUUUCGGUGUGGGAUGGGCUCGCGGCCUAUCAGCUUGUUGGUGGGGUAAUGGCCUACCAAGGCGUCGACGGGUAGCCGGCCUGAGAGGGUGUACGGCCACAUUGGGACUGAGAUACGGCCCAGACUCCUACGGGAGGCAGCAGUGGGGAAUAUUGCACAAUGGGCGCAAGCCUGAUGCAGCGACGCCGCGUGGGGGAUGACGGCCUUCGGGUUGUAAACUCCUUUCGCCAAGGACGAAGCGUUUUGUGACGGUACUUGGAGAAGAAGCACCGGCUAACUACGUG